RNAcentral lists this ribosomal RNA (2205 nucleotides) under human gut metagenome. RNAcentral describes it as "bacterial LSU rRNA". It matches the Rfam family "Bacterial large subunit ribosomal RNA", at positions 1 to 2222 of the family's 2925-position model. The record is from RNAcentral.
GAAAGUAGUUAAGGGCGCACGGCGGAUGCCUUGGCUCCCGGAGGCGACGAAGGACGCGGCAAGCUGCGAAAAGCCGCGGGGAGGCGCAUGCAGCCUUUGAUCCGCGGAUUUCCGAAUGGGACAACCCGUCAUCCUGAAGGGGUGACAUCCCGCUUUUGCGGGAGGCCAACGCGGGGAACUGAAACAUCUUAGUACCCGCAGGAAAAGAAAACAACAGUGAUUCCCCCAGUAGCGGCGAGCGAACGGGGAGAAGCCCAAACCGCAUGCGUUUCGGCGCCUGCGGGGUUGUAGGACCGCGAGGUCGGUUCUGGAAGGCGAGCGGAACGCGCUGGAACGCGCGGCCGGAGCGGGUGAAAGCCCCUUACGCGCAGCCUUCCCGGACUGUAGCGGCAUCCUGAGUAGGGCGGGACACGUGCAAUCCCGUCUGAAUCUGCCGGGCCCAUCCGGCAAGGCUGAAUACUCCCGGGAGACCGAUAGCGAACCAGUACCGUGAGGGAAAGGUGAAAAGCACUCCGAACAGGAGGUUGAAAUAGAACCUGAAACCGUGCGCCUACAAGCGGUCGGAGCCUUCUAUUGAAGGUGACGGCGUGCCUUUUGCAUAAUGAACCUGCGAGUUUCCGUCGCCGGCGAGGUUAAGGGGGACGACCCCCGGAGCCGCAGCGAAGGCGAGUCUGAACAGGGCGUUCAGUCGGCGGCGGAAGACGCGAAACCGAGUGAUCUACCCUUGUCCAGGAUGAAGUCCGGGUAACGCCGGAUGGAGGUCCGAACCGAUAGGCGUUGAAAAGCCUCCGGAUGAGGUGAGGGUAGGAGUGAAAGGCCAAUCAAACUCGGAGAUAGCUCGUACUCCCCGAAAUGCAUUUAGGUGCAGCCCCGGGCGUUCGCGGCGCGAGGUAGAGCGACUGAUAGGAUGCGGGGGCUUCGCCGCCUGCCAAGUCCUGACAAACUCCGAAUGCGCGCCGCCCACAGCCCGGGAGUGAGGGCGCGGGUGCUAAGGUCCGCGCCCGAGAGGAGAAGAAUCCUGACCGCCGUCCAAGGCCCCGAAGUGGAGGCUCAGUUAGUUUAACGGGGUCCGGCCGCAGAGACAGCUAGGACGUUGGCUUGGAAGCAGCCAUUCGUUUGAAGAGUGCGUAACAGCUCACUAGUCGAGGGGCCGGGCAUGGAUAAUAAUCGGGUAUAAGCCUCCCGCCGAAGACGCGGGACCUUAAGGUCGGUAGGGGAGCAUUCCGUGCGCGGCGAAUCCGGGGCGCGAGCUCCGGUGGAGCGCACGGAAAAGCAAAUGCAGGUAUAAGUAACGAUAAGGGGGGCGGGAACCCCCCCCGCCGCAAGACCAAGGUUUCCUGAUCCACGCUAAUCGGAUCAGGGUAAGUCGGGCCCUAAGGCUAAGCGUACGGCGAGGCCGAUGGCAGAGACGGUCAAGAUUCCGUCACUGCCCGCAGGGGCGACGCGGGGACGCGGGAGUGGCACCGCCGCCGUCCGACGGAAUGGACGGUUUAAGGGUGUAGGAGCUGAGGAGUCCAGGAAAGUCCGGGCUCCGAUCCGAACCUGAAAGUACGGGGAUCCCUUCGGGGCUCCCCGAUAGCGCGGGUAACCAGGCCGCCGAGAAAAUCCGCUAAGCUCCACCCUGCGGGCACCCGUACCGAAACGGACACACGUGGUCGGGUAGAACAUACUGAGGCGCUCGGGUGAAUCACGGUCAAGGAACUAGGCAAACUGACCCUGUAACUUCGGGAUAAAGGGUCCCUCCUCGCAAGAGAGGGCGCAGAGAAUAGGUCCAGGCAACUGUUUAACAAAAACACAGGGCUGUGCCAAUACGAAAGUAGCCGUAUACAGCCUGACACCUGCCCGGUGCCGGAAGGUUAAGGGGAGAGGUCAUCCUUUCUGGAGAAGCCUUGAACUGAAGCCCCGGUAAACGGCGGCCGUAACUAUAACGGUCCUAAGGUAGCGAAAUUCCUUGUCGGGUAAGUUCCGACCUGCACGAAUGGUGUAAUGAUCCGGACGCUGUCUCAACCAUGAGCUCAGUGAAAUUGUAGUAUCGGUGAAGAUGCCGAUUACCCGCGAUGGGACGAAAAGACCCCGUGAACCUUUACUACAGCUUAGCAUUGACCUUGGUCAUCCGAUGUGUAGGAUAGGCCGGAGGCUUCGAAGCGGGAGCGCCAGCUUUCGUGGAGCCAUCCUUGAAAUACGGCCCUUUGGCUGUCUGAGGUC